RNAcentral lists this ribosomal RNA (346 nucleotides) under uncultured bacterium. RNAcentral's name for it is "partial 16S ribosomal RNA". It matches the Rfam family "Bacterial small subunit ribosomal RNA", at positions 338 to 676 of the family's 1533-position model. The record is from RNAcentral.
CCUACGGGGGGCAGCAGUGGGGAAUAUUGCGCAAUGGGCGAAAGCCUGACGCAGCGACGCCGCGUGAGGGAUGAAGGUCUUCGGAUCGUAAACCUCGGUCAGCAGGGAAGAACGGUCACGGGGCUAAGCAGCAGUGAAUUGACGGUACCGGCAAAGGAAGCACCGGCUAACUCCGAGCCAGCAGCCGCGGUAAUACGGAGGGGGCGAGCGUUACUCGGAUUUACUGGGCGUAAAGCGCUCGUAGGCGGUCUGUCAAGUCAAGGGUGAAAGCCCCGCGCUCAACGUGGGAACUGCCUUUGAACCUGGCAAACUGGCGUGUGUGAGAGGUUAGUGGACUUCCCGGUGU